AGUUAUCCAGUUCCUAAACAAACUCUUCUUUUUUUUUCGCAAGAACAUCGUUCGGCCGGAGCAGCUGGUUCCACGGUGCUCUUUAAAAGCAACAGCGAAAAUGUCUGUCGGGAAUGCGUUCCGCGCUCCAGACUUUGUGCUGCCCGAAUCUACGAAGAUUAAAUUACGCGUCUCCGGUAUUUGGAAUAUUUGCCUCGUUAUCUACUGGCUCGCUCGCCGGCAGUUCCUAAGAUUUACGAAUCCACUCGCGACUUAAUGCGACACAAGCUUUGAAUCACCUUGUUAAUACCGUGUCACUACUGCAUUUCCAGCCGAAUUUCUCGGAAGGUCCGGAGAUUCUGAUAGCAGCGUCUGCGUUUAAUCUUCUAAUCGCGAAAAAAUAUUACACGGAAAGUUUUAUACCUUUGGAGGAGUUCGAAUGUUGACGAUAUCGGUGUUGGCUUGCCGAGGAUCAAUUUGCCCAACAUUUUAACAUCUUGGGAUUAGAAAUGCAAUCACGAUCAAACUCUGUGAAACGUUAUCUCUCGAACAACAGCUGACAAACGUGUGUUAACUACUUUCACUACUUUCCUUCUCCCUAUUUUUAUACAAUCCUUCUGUUUUAUUUGAACCAGUUAACAGCGGCAUUUAGUCUUCUCAUGAGGUUCAGAGUAUACUCGUCAAACGCAGUUGACUGGUUAAUCUAAUCAUAAAAAUGAACGAACAAAAUAAUCUUGAAACUAGUAUUUUAUUUAACGACUAUGAUAACUAACGACUAUGAUAUACUCGCUAACUGUCCAAAAGUUAGUUCAAAGUUUCGCAAUGGAACGUCAUGUGAUUAAGUGUCGGAUCGUUAGAAUCGUCGCUUUUUCAUCCAAAAGCUCGAUGCAAUAAGAUUCAAAAAUCCGUAGAACGAUCAUUAGUAGUAACAAUUAUUUCAGAUUAUUAUUUUAUUUUCGAUGAUUUGGCCAGAAAAGACAGCGAGUGUUUGAAAUAACAGGCUGAUGUAAUUGAUCUUACGUAAAAUAGGCGAAGUAAACUUCAGUGUCUAUA
Molecule: long non-coding RNA, 1032 nt
Organism: Bombus impatiens (common eastern bumble bee)
Lineage: Eukaryota; Metazoa; Arthropoda; Insecta; Hymenoptera; Apidae
Exons: 2
Source: RefSeq, a predicted model, not a curated record